Molecule: unclassified non-coding RNA, 577 nt
Filed under: Hevea brasiliensis (rubber tree)
Lineage: Eukaryota; Viridiplantae; Streptophyta; Magnoliopsida; Malpighiales; Euphorbiaceae
Source: RNAcentral
CCUUCUACUUCAUGGAAUCCAUCUUCAAAAGGUCUUUGCUUGGGCAUCAUGGAGUUCCAAAGGCUUCAAACGUCAGCUCUAAGUUCAGAAAAGCUUAGGUUGAAGUUUCAGUUUGGGCUUCAGAAACUUCAGAAAGGUGUACCUAAAAUUUCCAGGACUGUCUUCAAUGCCAGCCAGAAACCCCAAAAAGAUCGAACAGUCAAGAAACAAGAAUCAUAUCCACAGAAUGUGGAUCUUCCACCAGUACUACCAAAGCAAAAAAAGAAGCCCUAUCCCAUUCCUUUCAGUCUGAUCAAGAAGGCUGCAAGGAAGGACAAAAAACUUGCAGAAAUGGGUAUUGAGAAGCCCCUUGAACCUCCAAAAAAUGGAUUACUUGUCCCUGAUCUGAUUCCUGUUGCGCAUGAGGUACUGGAUGCCUGGAAAGUAUUGAUAAAAGGAGUUGCACAGCUCUUGCAUGUUAUUCCUGUAUAUGGUUGCAGUGCAUGCUCAGAGGUUCAUGUGGCCCAUACAGGUCACCAUAUUCAGGAUUGCCUUGGUCCGAGCAGUGCUAAGCGCCACAGUUCCCACUCAUGGAUCA